AGGUGCAGGUUAGUUCCUUCCUAUUUAAUAAUGUGCCAAGCGGAGGUAGUGACCCAAGUUGAGGGAUUGCGAGGAGAGUUGUGCAGAGGAAGGGCGAGGGAGGACAUGCCAGGAUCUACAAGUAAACAUCGGCAAGAAAAUAUCCUCCAUUGGCUGCUGGAUCGGAGCGGAUCUUUCCCAGUGUGUUGAUGGCCACAACGGCAGAGUAUUUUUCUCUUCCCAAGGCAUGCGUGAGGAUGAAGAGGCCAUGUUUGAUCCUGUGCGUGAUGAUUUCGGUUGUGAUCUGCUGCUGGCUGUGGGAUAUGCUUGG
Long non-coding RNA from Lolium perenne, 310 nucleotides. RefSeq lists it as uncharacterized. NCBI's taxonomy places the organism in Eukaryota, Viridiplantae, Streptophyta, Magnoliopsida, Poales, Poaceae. The record is from RefSeq and is a predicted model, not a curated record.